GUUCAGGUAAAUGAUGUGGAGAGUGUUUGCAUAUUGAUGAGCUGCUUCAGUGCUCUGAGAGUGUUUAUAGUGCUGUGACUUUAACACUUCAUCACCGACACACACAACAAUCUUCAUCAACAUGACCUUCAUCAUCAUCUUCAUCUGGACUCUCACAGCGUUUGCUCAAGAGUGUAGAGGACAGAUCAGCGUCACUCAGAGUCCCUCAACAACAGCAGAGAGAGCAGGAGAAACAGUCAGAAUCAGCUGCAAAACCAGUACAGAUGUGUAUGGUGGUGAUCGUUUAGCCUGGUACUUACAGAAACCUGGAGAAGCUCCUAAACUCCUGAUUUAUUUAGCAAACCGUCUCCAGUCAGGAACUCCAUCUAGAUUCAGUGGCAGUGGAUCUAACAGUGAUUUCUCUCUGACCAUCAGUGGAGUCCAGACUGAAGAUGCUGGACAUUAUUACUGUCAGAGUUAUCACAGUGGUGGUGUGUUCACACAGUGAUAAAGAGUCGUACAAAAACCUCCUUCAUUCAGAGUCUCAGAGACUGAACUGAUCCAGCAGCUGCUCAGAGGAGGAUCUGAAAUAACUCUGUUGUCUUUCUUGUUUUUGCUCGUUCUUCUUUCAUUCUGACUCACUUUAGGGAGAAGAGUAGAUCUCUGAGGUUUUGAUUGGAUGAAUUUCUAAACUUCAAUUCAGUGACAGAAACUCAGUUUCAGUUCAAUAACUGAAGAAUGGUUCAGGAAAGAUUCACAUGAAGAGCAGAUGAUGUCUGACUUUUAAAACUGCCAUAUUAUGUCUUUCUCAAUAAACCCAGCAUUGAGUCUCAGUUACUGUACACUACUGAUGAAAACUUUCAGAUGACCCAUACACACAUCUAACAUACACACGCACAAAUAUAACAUUUCUACAUAUGAAGUAUUUUAACUAAUGAAGUAAAACAUACGUAAAAUUUAUUCUAAAUUGGGACAGUUUAAAAUAUUACCAUCAUUUUCUCAAAUACAUGUCAUGUAGAUCUAUCCAUCUGUCCAUUUGAUUGCAGUUGUUUAAUAAAUGUUCAUAUAUAUGGUUGAUACAUAGUGUACACUUUGACACAUGCAACACUGAAAAGGUCACCAUCGCUGCUAGUACGGAUGAAGACACUAUCUUCUGACUGACUGAAGGAGUGGAGCGGCAGCAGAGAGAAGAAGAUGCUGAAGGAUACAGCCGCUUCGGAUCGGGAAGUCUUCUGAAGAUAAGCCGUCGUCCUGAACGGUUCCUUUCAUUUCAUGGUGGAAGGACAUGACCAUCUUCAGAAGCCGAGGGGACAUCUGAUCCUGCGCAGAAGACUGAAGAGACCUUUCCUGCUGACCGGAGUUUACAUGA
Puntigrus tetrazona (Sumatra barb) is the source of this 1348-nucleotide non-coding RNA. Lineage: Eukaryota; Metazoa; Chordata; Actinopteri; Cypriniformes; Cyprinidae. The record is from the annotation of a RefSeq genome assembly.